RNAcentral lists this ribosomal RNA (950 nucleotides) under Corynebacterium tuberculostearicum. RNAcentral describes it as "bacterial SSU rRNA". It matches the Rfam family "Bacterial small subunit ribosomal RNA", at positions 360 to 1321 of the family's 1533-position model. Lineage: Bacteria; Bacillati; Actinomycetota; Actinomycetes; Mycobacteriales; Corynebacteriaceae. The record is from RNAcentral.
AAUAUUGCACAAUGGGCGCAAGCCUGAUGCAGCGACGCCGCGUGGGGGAUGACGGCCUUCGGGUUGUAAACUCCUUUCGCUAGGGACGAAGCUUUUUGUGACGGUACCUAGAUAAGAAGCACCGGCUAACUACGUGCCAGCAGCCGCGGUAAUACGUAGGGUGCGAGCGUUGUCCGGAAUUACUGGGCGUAAAGGGCUCGUAGGUGGUUUGUCGCGUCGUCUGUGAAAUUCCGGGGCUUAACUCCGGGCGUGCAGGCGAUACGGGCAUAACUUGAGUACUGUAGGGGUAACUGGAAUUCCUGGUGUAGCGGUGAAAUGCGCAGAUAUCAGGAGGAACACCGAUGGCGAAGGCAGGUUACUGGGCAGUUACUGACGCUGAGGAGCGAAAGCAUGGGUAGCGAACAGGAUUAGAUACCCUGGUAGUCCAUGCCGUAAACGGUGGGCGCUAGGUGUGAGGGUCUUUUCACGACUUUCGUGCCGUAGCUAACGCAUUAAGCGCCCCGCCUGGGGAGUACGGCCGCAAGGCUAAAACUCAAAGGAAUUGACGGGGGCCCGCACAAGCGGCGGAGCAUGUGGAUUAAUUCGAUGCAACGCGAAGAACCUUACCUGGGCUUGACAUACACCGGAUCGGGCUAGAGAUAGUCUUUCCCUUUGUGGCUGGUGUACAGGUGGUGCAUGGUUGUCGUCAGCUCGUGUCGUGAGAUGUUGGGUUAAGUCCCGCAACGAGCGCAACCCUUGUCUUAUGUUGCCAGCAUUUGGUUGGGGACUCAUGAGAGACUGCCGGGGUCAACUCGGAGGAAGGUGGGGAUGACGUCAAAUCAUCAUGCCCCUUAUGUCCAGGGCUUCACACAUGCUACAAUGGUCGGUACAACGCGCAGCGACACUGUGAGGUGGAGCGAAUCGCUGAAAGCCGGCCUUAGUUCGGAUUGGGGUCUGCAACUCGACCCCAU